GACGAACGCUGGCGGCGUGCUUAACACAUGCAAGUCGAACGGAAAGGCCCUGCUUUUGUGGGGUGCUCGAGUGGCGAACGGGUGAGUAACACGUGAGUAACCUUCCCUUGUCUUUGUGAUAACUUCAGGAAACUGGUGCUAAUACCGGAUAGGUUCUCCUGCUGCUUGGUGGGGGUUGGAAAGUUUCGGCGGUUGGGGAUGGACUCGCGGCUUAUCAGCUUGUUGGUGGGGUAGUGUCUUACCAAGGCUUUGACGGGUAGCCGGCAUGAGAGGGUGACCGGCGACAAGGGGAAUGAGAGACGGAGCAGACGCGAACGGGAGGCAGCAGUGGGGAAUAUUGCACAAUGGGAGGAAGCGUGAUGAAGAAAAGGCGCGAGCGGGAUGAAGGCCUUCGGGUUGUAAAACGAUUUAGACUGAGAAGAAGAGUGAGUGACGGUAAUGGGUAAAGAAGCACCGGCUAACUACGUG
This 468-nucleotide ribosomal RNA is filed under the name uncultured bacterium. Its description in RNAcentral is "partial 16S ribosomal RNA". It matches the Rfam family "Bacterial small subunit ribosomal RNA", at positions 28 to 507 of the family's 1533-position model. The record is from RNAcentral.